GCCUGGGUGGCUCAGUCAGUUAAGUGCUUGACUUCGGCUCAGGACAUGAUCUCAUGGUUCGUGGGUUCAAACCCCGCAUCAGGCU
RNAcentral lists this transfer RNA (85 nucleotides) under Felis catus (domestic cat). It matches the Rfam family "tRNA". From Rfam's summary of the family: Transfer RNA (tRNA) molecules are approximately 80 nucleotides in length. RNAcentral also lists the same sequence under 1 other name. The record is from Rfam by way of RNAcentral. Lineage: Eukaryota; Metazoa; Chordata; Mammalia; Carnivora; Felidae.